GCACUGCUGAGGAGUCCCACAAUAGGACAAAACGACCGUCUAGUGC
Molecule: non-coding RNA, 46 nt
Filed under: Schistosoma bovis
Lineage: Eukaryota; Metazoa; Platyhelminthes; Trematoda; Strigeidida; Schistosomatidae
Also listed under: 1 other name
Source: RNAcentral